AGAACCCUGCCCUGGGCCUUGCCUAGUCUGCCUCACUCUGCCAUGGGCUGCAGGCUCCUCUGCUGUGUGGCCCUCUGCCUCCUCCAAGCAGGUUCCUUGGACACAGCUGUUUCCCAGACUCCAAAAUACCUGGUCACACAGAUGGGAAAUGACAAGUCCCUUAAAUGUGAACAAAAUUUGGGCCAUGAUACUAUGUAUUGGUAUAAGCAGGACUCUAAGAAAUUUCUGAAGAUAUUGUUUAGCUACAAUAAUAAGGAGCUCAUUAUAAAUGAAACCGUUCCAAAUCGCUUCUCACCUGAGUCUCCAGACAAAGCUCAUUUAAACCUUCACGUCAAGUCCCUGGAGCUUGGUGACUCUGCUGUGUAUUUCUGUGCCAGCAUCUAA
Non-coding RNA from Symphalangus syndactylus (siamang), 384 nucleotides. NCBI's taxonomy places the organism in Eukaryota, Metazoa, Chordata, Mammalia, Primates, Hylobatidae. The record is from the annotation of a RefSeq genome assembly.